GGCUCAUGGCACAGAACGGCACACAAAGUAAGCCCAUGGCACACAGCUGGUGGCACAGCACUGUAUUCAUGGUAAGGCCAUGGCACACGGCUCGUGGUGGCACCAAUGGCACCAAUGGCACCAAUGGCACCAAUGGCAUCCAUGGCAUUUGGGGCUCACGGUGUCACCAAUGGCACCAAUGGCACCAAUGUCAUUUGGGGCUCACGGUGUCACCAACGCCACCAAUGUCACCAGUGCCACAUGGGGCUCGUGGUGUCACCAAUGUCACCAAUGCCACCAACAUCAUCAGCAGUGCCAUCUGGGGGCUCACGGUGUCACCAAUGGCACCAGUGGCACCAAUGGCACCAAAGGCACCAAUGUCAUUUGGGGCUCACGGUGUCACCAACGCCACCCAUGUCACCGGUGCCACCGGUGCCACGUGAGUCGCAGUGUCACCAGUACCAGCAGUGCCACCAGAUCCACACAUCACCCGCAGUGCCACCAAUGUCACCGGCGCCACGUGCGACUCAUGGCGCCACCAGCGCCACCAGCGUCACCAGUGUCACCAGCGCCACGGGUGAAGCCCGGUGUCACCAAAGCCAGGAAUGCCCCACGGUGUCACCAACAGGGGUCCCCAAAAGUGGGUGGGGGUCCCCAGUGGGGUCCACAAAAGUGGGUAGGGGUCCCCCAAUAGGAUCCCCAAAAGUAGGUGGGGGUCUCCAAAAGUGGGUGGGGGUCCCCCAAACGGGGUCAGAGCCUGCCAAAAUUGGGUGGGGGGUCUCCCAAUUGAGGAGGGGUCCCCCAGCGGGGUUUGGGGCCCCUAAAUGAGGCCGGGGGUCCCCAAAAGGAGCGGGUCUGGGGGCUCCCCACCGCGUCCCAUGCGGACCCUCGGAUCGGACCCCUCCCCAAAUUGCGCCCAGGGACCCCCGUGUCGCCCNNNNNNNNNCCCGCCCCUCCCCCACUCACCGAGGAAGCCUUGCAGGCAGACCGCGCGCCCGCGGGGGGCGGUGGUGCCGUAGAACAGCAGCUGUUCCCCCGAAGCGCCUUCCCCCCUCCGCUCCAUCUCGGCUCGGCGCCGCCGGAAGUGGCCGUAAAGCCGCGGGUGGAUCAACUGCUCCGCCUGCGGGGAGCGGCGUCAGGAGACCCCACACCCAAUUCGGGACCCCACACCCAAAUCGGGACCCCAGACCCAAAUGGGGACCCCCGGCCCUGCUUACAGAACUCGGGAGCUCAGCCCCAACUGGGGACGCCUGCUCCCAUUGGUGACCCCAGACCCAAUUUGAGACCCCAGACCCAAUUCGGGAGCACCACCCCCACUGCGGACCCCAGACCCAAAUGGGGACCCCCGACCCUGUAUAGAGAACUCGGGAGCUCAGCCCCAAUUAGGGACGCCCGCUCCCAUAGGUGACCCCAGACCCAAUUUGGGACCCCAGAUCCAAUUCGGGACUACUGCCCCCACUGCAGACCCCAGACCCAAAUGGGGACCCCCGACCCUACAGAGAGAACUCGGGAGCUCAGCCCCAAUUAGGGAUGCCCACUCCUAUAGAUGACCUCAGACCCAGCUGGGGACCCCAGACCCAAUUCGGGACCCCAGACCCAAUUCAGGAGCAUCGCCCCCAUCAGUGACCCCAGACCCAAAUGGAGACCUUCGACCCUACAGAGAGAACUCGGGAGCUCAGCCCCAAUUAGGGAUGCCCGCUCCUAUCGGUGACCUCAGACCCAGCUGGGAACCCCAGACCCAAUUUGGGACCCCAGACCCAACUGGGGACCCCAGACCCAAUUCGGGACCCUCGCCCCCAUCAGUCACCCCAGACCCUGAUCUCAUUUG
Long non-coding RNA from Phasianus colchicus (ring-necked pheasant), 1807 nucleotides. NCBI's taxonomy places the organism in Eukaryota, Metazoa, Chordata, Aves, Galliformes, Phasianidae. The record is from Ensembl.